CACUGAUAUAUCGUUAAUGCUGAC
Molecule: microRNA, 24 nt
Filed under: Ananas comosus (pineapple)
Lineage: Eukaryota; Viridiplantae; Streptophyta; Magnoliopsida; Poales; Bromeliaceae
Description: microRNA s0536_c68a
Source: RNAcentral